AUUAAAAUGGCAGAUUAGUGCAACGGGUUUAAACUCCGUGUAUAAUGUUUACCAUUUUUUAAUA
Molecule: transfer RNA, 64 nt
Filed under: Onychiurus orientalis
Lineage: Eukaryota; Metazoa; Arthropoda; Collembola; Poduromorpha; Onychiuridae
Description: tRNA-Leu
Source: RNAcentral